This 396-nucleotide ribosomal RNA is filed under the name uncultured bacterium. RNAcentral describes it as "partial 16S ribosomal RNA". It matches the Rfam family "Bacterial small subunit ribosomal RNA", at positions 523 to 917 of the family's 1533-position model. The record is from RNAcentral.
AUACGUAGGUGACAAGCGUUAUCCGGAUUUACUGGGCGUAAAGGGCGUGUAGGCGGUCUUGCAAGUCAGAAGUGAAAUUCCUGAGCUCAACUCGGGCGCUGCUUCUGAAACUGCAGGACUUGAGUGCUGGAGGGGAUAGCGGAAUUCCUAGUGGAGCGGUAAAAUGCGCAGAUAUUAGGAAGAACACCGGUGGCGAAGGCGGCUUUCUGGGCAGUAACUGACGAUGAGGCGCGAAAGCGUGGGGGGCAAACAGGAUUAGUGGCCCUGGUAGUACACGCCGUAAACGAUGAAUACUAGGUGUAGGGGGUAUCGACUCCCUCUGUGCCGCAGUUAACACAAUAAGUAUUCCGCCUGGGGAGUACGGCCGCAAGGUUGAAACUCAAAUGAAUUGGCGGG